Non-coding RNA from Acanthosepion pharaonis, 114 nucleotides. NCBI's taxonomy places the organism in Eukaryota, Metazoa, Mollusca, Cephalopoda, Sepiida, Sepiidae. The record is from the annotation of a GenBank genome assembly.
UUACGGCCACAUCAGUAUGAAACACCGGUCCUGAUGCGACCACCAAUGUUAAGCAACGUCGAGUUUGGUCAGUAUCUAGAUGCGUGACCACUUGGAAAUAUCAGGUGGUGUAAG